Mesoplodon densirostris (Blainville's beaked whale) is the source of this 1126-nucleotide long non-coding RNA. RefSeq lists it as uncharacterized. NCBI's taxonomy places the organism in Eukaryota, Metazoa, Chordata, Mammalia, Artiodactyla, Ziphiidae. The record is from RefSeq and is a predicted model, not a curated record. The transcript has 4 exons.
GCCAGGAGCCAGCAGGAUAUCCCAGGCACCACAGCAGGAUGCAUCUGGGGUCCACUGGGCCCCAGCAGAGAGCUGACACCUGCUUGCCAUCAUGGAGGAGCCUGCCAUUAAGAGGCGCCUGAAGAUGAUUCAACUCAACACUUCAGUCUAUGAAGAUGUGGCCGGGUGUCUUCCAGUGCAGGAAUAUGUCUCGUAUACAUACCACUGUCAUAUCAAGUUCAAGGCCCUCAGGGUGCCUACAAGAAGGCCCACAUGGCUAUUCUAUGCUCUGGGCCAGCCCCUCAGGACUGCCCCUUCCAUGAAGAGAUGGAUUGGGUGCUGCAGAUCAAGAGAUGGAUGGGGUGCCCCAGCCCAGCCAACCUCAGGGAGCAGACCCGGCCAUGGGAUCUUGACCACCACAACCAGCUGACCCAGGGAAGAAAAAAAAAAGUCAUUAGCAGAAAGAUGGGCCAGAAGGGUGCUCUCCUCAGCAGCAGCAGCAGCAGCAGCAGCAGAGGCACCAGAACCAGAGGUGGAAGAUGGAGACAGAGCAUCAUUUCAAGCUAGAAAUGGAAGUGUUGGAGCUGCCCAGUGACCUCCGGCUUGAAAGCCCGGCUGGUACCCGGACCAGCAAGACAACCGAGAUGGAGAUUAGCCAGGAUGCCUAAGAAACUGGGCCAGAAGUCCAGAAGGGACCAGCCUCCAGACAGAAACCAGCCUCAGAGAGAAACUUCGUCAUCAGCUCCUGGGGUGUCUACAGUGCCCCCUAGAGCACAGGUGCCACCGAUGAACAGAAAAGACUGACCUAAAAUGCCUCGCUUUCCCUCCUCCCUGGUUCACCUCGAGAGGGACUUAUGUUCACCGAACUUGAACUUCAGGCUCCAAGUGGAGGCAGUUAACGGGAAGGUUUCAAAAGGAGUCAGAGGAAUCCCCUCCUGCCGUUUACCUAAAUUCGCCAAUUGUCUCCUUUUGCCCCGUUUGCCGGCCUUUACCCUCAGUAGGAGGGGCCCUCUCUCCCCCACCAGGCCACCCGGAGGUCUGUCCCGGCCACCCACUGAGGGCCCUGCAAUUCCAGGGAUGGGAAGUUGACUUUGACGUUAAAGAAGUUAAAGAACUGCAAAACCCUCCUCAGGAGGGAACAGAUUUC